CAAUAGCGUAUAUUAAAGUUGUUGCGGUUAAAAAGCUCGUAGUUGGAUUUCUGCCGAGGACGUCCGGUCCGCCCUCUGGGUGUGUACAUGGUACGGCCUGGGCAUCUUCUUGGAAAACGUAUCUGCACUUGACUGUGUGGUGCGGUAUCCAGGACUUUUACUUUGAGGAAAUUAGAGUGUUUCAAGCAGGCCUACGCCUUGAAUACAUUAGCAUGGAAUAAUAAGAUAGGACCUCGGUUCUAUUUUGUUGGUUUCUAGAGCUGAGGUAAUGAUUAAUAGGGAUAGUUGGGGGCAUUCGUAUUUAACUGUCAGAGGUGAGAUUCUUGGAUUUGUUAAAGACGGACUACUGCGAAAGCAUUUGCCAAGGAUGUUUUCAUUGA
RNAcentral lists this ribosomal RNA (380 nucleotides) under uncultured eukaryote. Its description in RNAcentral is "partial 18S ribosomal RNA". It matches the Rfam family "Eukaryotic small subunit ribosomal RNA", at positions 592 to 976 of the family's 1831-position model. The record is from RNAcentral.